This is a non-coding RNA of Podarcis lilfordi (Lilford's wall lizard), 4238 nucleotides long. The record is from the annotation of a GenBank genome assembly. NCBI's taxonomy places the organism in Eukaryota, Metazoa, Chordata, Lepidosauria, Squamata, Lacertidae.
GACACUUGGAGGGUCUGAGAGAACAAUGUAUGAGAGGAAAUGGUACCUUGGAGCACAGAGCUUUAUGCUAAUGGUACUAUUGUGGUUCAGGGGGUAUCAGAUGUGGGAUACUGAAUCUGCUACCUUGUCAGGAGUUUGUGCUCUUUGUCACCAAUUUAUGCUCUACUUGGAAAUGAAAGGAAAUACUUUAAGUCUAUAACCUCCAGUGCAUCCUCCUCUAAAGAAAACCAACCCUGAGUAGUGCCCAUCACAGCACAUAGAACUCAUCACAGCGCAUAGAAGUGUGCAGCACACACCUGCACACCUUCUUUUCUUCAACAGGUGCAGGAAAAUCAAACUUUGGGCCACUUGACCAUUGGCAUUGUAACUCAGUCUGUCCAGAGGACUGGAGGUAGAUUACUCCUUGAAAAUUAGAAACCGACGUUGACAGAACUUGUCCAUCUCUAACUUAGUGCCCCAUCGAUUGCAGCAUCGGUGCUAUUUUACGAUAUUUCGCACUCUCCCUUCACGAAAAGAAAUACAGCGCUUCUGCAUGGCAGAUGAAUGAGAAAUAUAAUUCUCCACUUCCUUCUUCCCUUUAACUGUGAUACUCACGAGACCUUUUUUAUUGGCGUGAUGAAGUUGUCACUGGUUGGCCCUGCAGCAUCUUGUUCUACCAGGUUUGUUUACGGAAGCUGUGCCAGUAGAUGUCACUCUAGAACAGGCAUCCUUUGGUGCUCAGUCGAGCACCACUAAAGCAAAUUGUGCAUCCAGCCGGUGUUUCUUCACAUGCACAGUAAACACCUUUCUUAGGCAAUAUGCCGCCACUGUUGUUCUUCCACCACCACUCAGUUGAACAGCAAAUCAUAACCAACCAAAUUCAAGCCUACUUAUGUGUGUUGCACAUAACCUGGAUAAGGAAUGCAGUGAGAGAAAGGGAUGCUGCAAAACGUAAUAAUUAUUGUGACCCAAUCAUCUACCUGUCAGCUUAAAGGUAAAUCCAGAUUCUAGUGGGGGAUGAUUAAUAUUAGCUUGGUCACUUCUGGUUUCCUUUUCACGGAAGAACGAGGCCGUUUAAUUCUCUUUAAGAAGACUGUGUCAUUUGUAUUUUAUUUUAUUUGUGUGUUGUGGUCAGGCACUUUGGUAGGGGAAAGCAGCAGUGACUAUAUCGUUCGCUGCGGCUACUAUUGGAACAGCUGCAACACCUAUUAACGGGACAAAUGAGCUGCUAAGGAUGGCCAACCGCACAGUGUAAUUUAAAAGCGCUUCAUUUCAGAGAAGCCUUAAUUAUUAGUCUGAUGCAUACCCAGUGCUUGGAAUAAACUAGUUCGGUUUAACAAAGUUCACUGAAGCGGUUCAAAAGCUUCUAACCUGCACCUGAAAGGAGCUUCCAUAAUUGCCGAGUGAACAGAACAUGAAUUGAGUUUGCAUUGGGUAGAACUUGGAACCAUUUCUCGUUCCUCUUCGAGUUCAUUCUGUUAUGUAUGUUUAUUAUUUUUUAGAUACUUUGGGUCUCUCCCCCCCCCUUAAAGAUCAUACUUGUUGGAGUAAAUAAAUUGAACAAUUCACAUUCCACUGGGUGAGGGGGUGUUGACUCGGGGCCGUGAGUUUGAGCCCCACGUUGGGUGAAAGAUUGCUGCAUUCCGGGGAGUGCAUUCCAGGACCCUCGUGGUCCCUCCUAACUCUACAAUUCUAUGGUUCUAAGCAGUGCUUUUAUAUGCCUGUUGUCUUCGUCCAUGGAGUUUUCUUGGCAGGGAUACUGGAGUGGCUUGCCGGUUCCUCCUCCAGGUGGAUCACGUUUGGUCAAAACUCUCCACUAUGACCUGUUCAUCUUGGGUGCCCUGCAUGGCAUAGUUCAUAGCUUCUCUGAGUUAUUCAAGCCCCUUCGCCAUGGCAAGGCAGUGAUCCAUGAAGGGGUACUGGUUUUCCCAGUAGUGAUGUAUGGAAGUGAGAACUGGACCAUAAAGAAGGCUGAUCGCCGAAGAAUUGAUGCUUUUGAAUUAUGGUGCUGGAGGAGACUCUUGAGAGUCCCAUGGACUGCAAGAAGAUCAAACCUAUCCAUUCUAAAGGAAAUCAGCCCCGAGUGCUCACUGGAAGGACAGAUCGUGAAGCUGAGGCCCCAAUACUUUGGACUUCCGGGGUGGCGCCAUCGGCAAUGGCGGAUUCCCUCUGAACUGGAGGUACCAGCUCCACGGGAAACGGGUCUUUACCGCUACGGCGAAGUGGGGACCCACUCAAAAAUCACAGGCGGAUGAAGCCUGUGACCAUGGGACUCGGCGGGCACCCUUAGCGCCCCCCCAACUCGCUAAGGAACCCACUAACGGGCUCCGAAGUGAAGAGGGGGAAGUGGCGCAGUGCUGUGAGUCAACUGCUAUUUCCGUGGAGCGAAGCCGCAUAGCCGUUGCCGGAGAGCGCUGCCUUUGUCCUGGGACAAUUUGGACUUUAAAAUAAGCACCCGUGAGUACUUAGACUUUGAACAACUGGACAUUAAAUAAGGACUUGCGAGAGAAAAGAAUUAGAUCUUAAAAAUCUAUUUUAAUUCGGUACGGAGCAGGAAGGUCUAAACAGGAAGUCAGCCUUCCGUUCUUUUGUAAACAGAAUAAAGCAAAGACAACGUAAACUAGAGCUCAGAAAAUCGCCUUUAAAGGAUUGGAUUUCAUCAUUUAAAAUUGUGGAACCCCCCUUCGACAGCAGGAGAAGGGGGGGGGUCUUUUUCGGACUGUUUAAAGUGAGUUUAAAGUAAAGUAGCUUUCCUCCGUCCUGAUCCUGGAGAGGGGUGUCAGGACUGACGUUUGAAGUUCAUUGACCAGAGACAAGCGUUUUUGACAGAUAGCUAAAAGAAGAGAAACAUAGUGAUUCCACUGUUUCCCUUCGCAUUUUAAAGGAACAAAUAUUGACAAAGUAUCUCAAAAAGGGAAACUUUGUUGCAAGAACAAAUAGAAGUUUUCCCCCUAGAGGGAGACUGUGAAACUGUAACCAACUCCAGGGAACCGGCAGCUGUUACAGAUUACAAUCGUGGGAACAGGCAUUUGACCUUGCAGGACAAUGUACUCAGAAGCUUUGUUGUGUGCUUUCUAUAAAACAAAUGCCCUACUGGAACAGUUACAUGAGAAGGUGAAUUGGAUGGCGACUUCGACUAGAAAUUUUGAACAGGCAGUGGGAAAUUUUGAACAGACAGUGAGAAAAUAUGUGGAGCCCACUCAGGAAUUAAAUCAGGAGUGUGUCCUGACAGAACAGGCCCAACAGGAAUAUGAAUUUUCGGAUUUGACAAAUGAACUUGGAAAAAGCCAGAUUUGGAAAGAAAAAGUUUGGUUUGGCUUGGAAAUGGGGGGCUGGAUUGACCCCCCUAUGCUGGGAUGUUUGGACUUUUCAAAUCUGGCAAUGGGCCGUGAGAUGUUUGGGAUUGUUGGGGCUCUUAAUUUUGGAGGGCCUUUGAAACAUGCUUUUAAAUAUCAUAUGGAAUUCAGUGUUGAAUAUGGAAAAGGAGCUGAUCUGUCGAGAAGGGCUAAAAACAUUGCCAAGCUGGAGUUACCACGAGCAGGAGACAAGGGAAAAUACAGUUACAAAUAUGAAGAAGAGCUGUGGAAGGGACAUGGAAGAGACUUGAGGGCCUCGGAUAUAAGGUUGCCAGGUUAAUGGGCUAGAUCGAUGGGAUAAUAAGGACUGACAAAACCCGGAACCAGGAGGAAGGGACGUUGGAUGAAGAUUGGACCGGUUUGUAUCUCUUUUUUCUACCAUUAGAGCUGUUUUAUAAAAUUGAUGAAUGUUAGAAAAAUGUUGGAAUGAAAUUACUUGGCUUUAGUAAAGAUGUUUAAAGAAUUAUGAAAGAAUAUUAUGGUUAUGAGAAGUUGGUAAGAAUAAGAUUUAAGUUUUAAGCUUUAAGGUUUAUUUUAUUAUAGAAAGAUAAGAUUAAAACAGUUUAGGGCAAUGUAAUGACAGAAUAUUAUGAAAUAUGGAAAGGAUUUGCUGGGAUAAUUAAUAACUAGGAUACAAAGAAAGGGAGGAGGAGGAGGUCAAAGAAAGAAGGCAAUGACAGUUGAGGAUUUGAAAAUAAUGAAUUUGUUUUUAAAUGUUUUUAAUUGUUUGUGAUGUAUUUUUGUAUUUUUCUUUUUUUUGUCACUUUUUUUUGGAAUUUGUAUUCAUAUGAUUGGAAGGGGUUUGUUUUUUCCUUUUCUACUUUGUUAACUAUUUUUAUUUUGUACUUUCUUCUGCCUUUAUUUUAUUUUGUAACACUUUGAAAAUUUCAAUAAAUAUCUUAU